RNAcentral lists this ribosomal RNA (383 nucleotides) under uncultured Synechococcus sp. RNAcentral's name for it is "bacterial SSU rRNA". It matches the Rfam family "Bacterial small subunit ribosomal RNA", at positions 9 to 422 of the family's 1533-position model. Lineage: Bacteria; Bacillati; Cyanobacteriota; Cyanophyceae; Synechococcales; Synechococcaceae. The record is from RNAcentral.
GAGUUUGAUCAUGGCUCAGGAUGAACGCUGGCGGCGUGCUUAACACAUGCAAGUCGAACGAACCUUCGGGUUAGUGGCGGACGGGUGAGUAACGCGUGAGAAUCUGCCCUCAGGAGGGGGACAACAGCUGGAAACGGCUGCUAAUACCCCAUAUGCCGCGAGGUGAAAUGAAUUUCGCCUGAGGAUGAGCUCGCGUCUGAUUAGCUAGUUGGUGUAGGUAAUGGCUCACCAAGGCAUCGAUCAGUAGCUGGUCUGAGAGGAUGAUCAGCCACACUGGGACUGAGACACGGCCCAGACUCCUACGGGAGGCAGCAGUGGGGAAUUUUCCGCAAUGGGCGAAAGCCUGACGGAGCAACGCCGCGUGAGGGAUGAAGGCCUCUGGG